CCCAAAGAGAUGGCCACUGUAGGGCCCUCACUUUUAUGCUGGUUGGGUCUAGGACUAACUCUUCUCAAGAGGGGGUAGGCAUUCAGAAGCCUACAUCAGGACAAAUACCCCACUUAUAUUUGGUUUAAAUAUAUUUUAAACAGUGUCAAAACCUAAUAUUCUUAAUAUUGUACUAUAACUAGAGAUUAUAUCACCCAGUUUUAUCACCAUCAAGAUUCUCAUCAUCUGAGGAACAGUCCAGAGACCAAAGAAAGAAAGACGAGGUGCAGAGUUUCAGUUUUACAGAAUGAAGAGAGUUCUGGAGAUGGCUGCACAACAAUGUGGAUGUACUUGAUGUCGUUGAAAUGUAUACUUAGAAAUGGUUAAAAUGAUGGAGGCUGUGUUCUUACCAUAUUCUGCAGCUGUAAGAAAAGUUCAGAAGAAAUACUGCUUGGAAAUAAUUGUCGAUGCUGUCAACAACUUCCUCUCUGUGCAUGGACUUCUCAAAGGUUCUUGUUGAUGAAGUGCUCUGGCCAAACCCCCCUCUCUGCUCCCCUUCAGCAAGAAAAAGCACAUUACCAUGUUUAAGAAAAAGGUUGGAUCCCAACACUGGCCCUCUUUUACUUUCCAAGAAACUUACCCAUACAUUAACGAACUGAUAACUUUGCCCCCAGACACCAAAUGGAACUUUAUAUUCAGUACAGAUGUUUAUUGCCAAAUUGCCAAGAAAACAUUCACAAUUUCACUUCUUAAUUAAACCAAAUAUUGUAAAUGAGGGGAAAAGGA
Long non-coding RNA from Canis lupus familiaris (dog), 765 nucleotides. RefSeq lists it as uncharacterized. The transcript is spliced from 3 exons. The record is from RefSeq and is a predicted model, not a curated record. Lineage: Eukaryota; Metazoa; Chordata; Mammalia; Carnivora; Canidae.